Molecule: ribosomal RNA, 489 nt
Filed under: uncultured bacterium
Lineage: Bacteria
Description: bacterial SSU rRNA
Rfam family: Bacterial small subunit ribosomal RNA
Source: RNAcentral
GAUAAACGCUGGCGGCGCACAUAAGACAUGCAAGUCGAACGGACUUAACUCAUUCUUUUAGUUUGAGAGCGGUUAGUGGCGGACUGGUGAGUAACACGUAAGCAACCUGCCUAUCAGAGGGGAAUAACAGUGAGAAAUCAUUGCUAAUACCGCAUAUGCUAACAGUAUCGCAUGAUACAGUUAGGAAAGGAGCAAUCCGCUGAUAGAUGGGCUUGCGUCUGAUUAGCUAGUUGGUGGGGUAACGGCCUACCAAGGCGACGAUCAGUAGCCGGACUGAGAGGUUGAACGGCCACAUUGGGACUGAGAUACGGCCCAGACUCCUACGGGAGGCAGCAGUCGGGAAUAUUGCGCAAAUGGAGGAAAACUCUGACGCAGUGACGCCGCGUAUAGGAAGAAGGUUUUCGGAUUGUAAAACUAUUGUCGUUAGGGAAGAUACAAGACAGUACCUAAGGAGGAAGCCCCGGCUAACUAAUGUGCCAGCAGCCGCGG